CUAAGAAUAUUCCGCAAUGGUCGAAAGACUGACGGAGCGACGCCGCGUGGAUGACGAAGGCCGAAAGGUUGUAAAAUCCUUUUGCGGGCGAAGAAGAAGGGGCGGAGGGAAUGCCGCUCUGGUGACGCCGGCCCGCGAAUAAGCCCCGGCUAAUUACGUGCCAGCAGCCGCGGUAACACGUAAGGGGCGAGCGUUGUUCGGAAUUAUUGGGCGUAAAGGGCGCGUAGGCGGCGUGCCAAGUCCGGCGUGAAAUGCCGGGGCUCAACCCCGGAGCUGCGCUGGAAACUGGCAUGCUUGAGUCACGGAGGGGAAGCCGGAAUUCCUGGUGUAGGGGUGAAAUCUGUAGAUAUCAGGAAGAACACCGAUGGCGAAGGCAGGCUUCCAGCCGAUGACUGACGCUGAGGCGCGAAAGCGCGGGGAGCGAACAGGAUUAGAUACCCUGGUAGUCCGCGCUGUAAACGAUGCGCACUAGGCGUCGGGGCGAGCGCCCCGGUGCCGAAGCGAACGCGGUAAGUGCGCCUGCCU
Molecule: ribosomal RNA, 525 nt
Filed under: uncultured bacterium
Lineage: Bacteria
Description: bacterial SSU rRNA
Rfam family: Bacterial small subunit ribosomal RNA
Source: RNAcentral